UGGAGAUAUCAUUUUAGAUACCCCUGACUUUUGAAAUAGUUUCAAGCAUGUUCGAAUGCUCAGAUUAGAUCAAACUGUGCUCAGCCCUAACACAUACAUACUAUAUACUUCAAAAUGAAUUGUAAUUAUACAUGAUAUGCUAAACAUAAUGAAUUCUAUGUAUUCUAAACUAACCUUGCAUUUAGAUAAGCAUGCAAUUGAAUAAAGACUGAUAUGGACUUGGAUUUGUGUUUCAACUUCAAGUGAAAACACAGAAUAUCAAUAUAUUGUCAAAUUCAAAUACCACUUCAUUUCAAAUUCUCAUCAGCCCAAAUAAAGCCUUGAGAAAAAAAAUUUCAAAUCAAAUUGGUUGUAAAACAAUGUUAGCUUAUUUAAUCACAAAAACACUGUUACAUAUAGCAGAGGUUGAUAUUGGAGAGGAAAAAAAUAAGAAUGGAGCUAUAGUUGUAUGAGGAAGAGAGUAGA
This 465-nucleotide unclassified non-coding RNA is filed under the name Hevea brasiliensis (rubber tree). Lineage: Eukaryota; Viridiplantae; Streptophyta; Magnoliopsida; Malpighiales; Euphorbiaceae. The record is from RNAcentral.